This is a long non-coding RNA of Tribolium castaneum (red flour beetle), 1261 nucleotides long. RefSeq lists it as uncharacterized. The transcript is spliced from 2 exons. NCBI's taxonomy places the organism in Eukaryota, Metazoa, Arthropoda, Insecta, Coleoptera, Tenebrionidae. The record is from RefSeq and is a predicted model, not a curated record.
AUCUCACGAGAAAUAGGUACCCAAUAUUUUUUUUCAUCACAUCUGGUUUAAUUUUGAAAAAGUCGUUGAAAUUCGAGAUUCAAAUAGAGUUUUUUUUUUUUUUUUAAUUUAUAUCAAUGAUGGGAGAGUCUCCGACGUAAUUACAAGAUGCACAAUUGUAGGUGAUCUAAUAAAACUCAUUGUUAUGCAACUGAUUCAUAUGCCAACAGGUGUGCCCCAAAGGUCAAAAAAUUACGCCAAAUCCGCUCAUUACUUUCAAUUAUAUUUGUUGUAUCUUCACUACAAAUUGUGCAAUGUUAAAAAAAUAUGUUCUAUCUUAUAACUAGAGAGAAAAAUUGCAUCUCAGAUUUGAGAACCUGAAACAUUUUGAAUUUUUUUUUGUACAAAUUACCUAAGAAUAACCUUCUUAAGAGAGAUGACAUUUAUUCAUAACUCAAAAAUUUGACUUUUUGCUUCAGACCAAAAUAGUAUCUAUAAAAUAUCAAAAAAAAAUCUAUUACCUACUCGCUCUAGAGUUCUAUUCAAAACUUUGCCAAAAAGUAGCCUAAACUGAGUUUUAUGAUUUUGGGGUGUGAAUAAAUUGCCGAAACAGAAAGUUAUUGCUGUGCAUCGAAAAUAGACGAUAUUUCUGAUUUAGUUCCCCGAAGGUUUACAAAGAGAAACCGUAGAAAGCAUUUUAAAUUAGUUUUGUUGACGAAAUCUUGAGCACAGGUCCAGAUUUUUGCUCAAUUAGAGUAAUUGUAUCUCCAAGAUUUUUUUGGAAAAAGUUUCAUUGCCACGCACUUUUAUUCGAGUGGAACGGCACGCAAUCCUCGACCUUGCUUUGCCCAUCUGAACGGUUUAACUAAACCAGUUUCCCGAUAAACCGUUCAUCACUUGAAUUUAUGUGAUUUUUUUGCGGAACUGAGUCAAAAUGCCACCGUGAUAUUUCCCGAUCAUCCUGUAUAUUUAAUAAGACGCAAAUCAUUCUUCAAGAAUUAAAUAUCUGGAUUCCAUGAAAGCGUCAAGGCCUUCACAUUCCGUGUCAUAAAUCACAUAAAUAUCACUGAUGACUUUUGUUACCUGCUGUUUUCAUCCAGUGAAGAAAAAAGUGGCUAUUGUUGACGGCGAGACUUUAGUCAAGCAUCAAUGAACUUGGAAAUUGCCGCGAUGUGGCCUUCAUAAUAUUUAAUAUCUGUUCCAAAUUGCAAUUUGAGUUGAUCUUCGCAAAGCCGGAAUUACAUUUUUUUGGGUCAGCGUUGAAAAUGAAAGGCUUUUUACA